AGGGGUUUGAUCCUGGGCUCAGAGCGAACGCUGGCGGCGUGCUUAACACAUGCAAGUCGAGCGAGAAAGCCCCUUCGGGGGUGAGUAGAGCGGCGGACGGGUGAGUAAUGCGUGAACAACCUGCCUUUAGGACUGGGAUAACUAUGGGAAACUGUAGCUAAUACCGGAUAAGACCACGACUUCUACGGAUAUUGAGGUAAAAGGUGGCCAGCUUGCUGGCUAUCACCUUUAGAUGGGUUCACGUUCCAUCAGGUUGUUGGUGAGGUAACGGCUCACCAAGCCUAAGACGGAUAGUUGGCCUUAGCGGGUGGCCAACCACACGGGGACUGAGACACGGCCCCGACUCCUACGGGAGGCAGCAGUGAGGAAUAUUGGGCNAAUGGGCGAAAGCCUGACNCAGCGACGUCGCGUGGGGGAUGAAGGCCUUCGGGUCGUAAACCCUUGUCAUAGGGGAAGAUGGGUAUGUGNGCUAAUACCACACAUACUUGACGGUACCCUAAAAGGAAGCCCCGGCUAACUCCGUGCCAGNAGCCGCGGGUAAUACGGAGGGGGCAAGCGUUGCNCGGAAUUACUGGGCGUAAAGGGUCCCGCAGGUGGGUUUUGCCAGUUAGAUGUUGAAAGCUCANGGCUUCAACCCGGGAAACUGCAUCUAAUACUAC
Molecule: ribosomal RNA, 659 nt
Filed under: uncultured bacterium
Lineage: Bacteria
Description: bacterial SSU rRNA
Rfam family: Bacterial small subunit ribosomal RNA
Source: RNAcentral